AUUGAACGCUGGCGGCAGGCCUAACACAUGCAAGUCGAGCGGAAACGAGUUAUCUGAACCUUCGGGGAACGAUAACGGCGUCGAGCGGCGGACGGGUGAGUAAUGCCUAGGAAAUUGCCCUGAUGUGGGGGAUAACCAUUGGAAACGAUGGCUAAUACCGCAUGAUGCCUACGGGCCAAAGAGGGGGACCUUCGGGCCUCUCGCGUCAGGAUAUGCCUAGGUGGAAUUAGCUAGUUGGUGAGGUAAGGGCUCACCAAGGCGACGAUCCCUAGCUGGUCUGAGAGGAUGAUCAGCCACACUGGAACUGAGACACGGUCCAGACUCCUACGGGAGGCAGCAGUGGGGAAUAUUGCACAAUGGGCGCAAGCCUGAUGCAGCCAUGCCGCGUGUGUGAAGAAGGCCUUCGGGUUGUAAAGCACUUUCAGUCGUGAGGAAGGUAGUGUAGUUAAUAGCUGCAUUAUUUGACGUUAGCGACAGAAGAAGCACCGGCUAACUCCGUGCCAGCAGCCGCGGUAAUACGGAGGGUGCGAGCGUUAAUCGGAAUUACUGGGCGUAAAGCGCAUGCAGGUGGUUUGUUAAGUCAGAUGUGAAAGCCCGGGGCUCAACCUCGGAAUAGCAUUUGAAACUGGCAGACUAGAGUACUGUAGAGGGGGGUAGAAUUUCAGGUGUAGCGGUGAAAUGCGUAGAGAUCUGAAGGAAUACCGGUGGCGAAGGCGGCCCCCUGGACAGAUACUGACACUCAGAUGCGAAAGCGUGGGGAGCAAACAGGAUUAGAUACCCUGGUAGUCCACGCCGUAAACGAUGUCUACUUGGAGGUUGUGGCCUUGAGCCGUGGCUUUCGGAGCUAACGCGUUAAGUAGACCGCCUGGGGAGUACGGUCGCAAGAUUAAAACUCAAAUGAAUUGACGGGGGCCCGCACAAGCGGUGGAGCAUGUGGUUUAAUUCGAUGCAACGCGAAGAACCUUACCUACUCUCGACAUCCAGAGAACUUUCCAGAGAUGGAUUGGUGCCUUCGGGAACUCUGAGACAGGUGCUGCAUGGCUGUCGUCAGCUCGUGUUGUGAAAUGUUGGGUUAAGUCCCGCAACGAGCGCAACCCUUAUCCUUGUUUGCCAGCGAGUAAUGUCGGGAACUCCAGGGAGACUGCCGGUGAUAAACCGGAGGAAGGUGGGGACGACGUCAAGUCAUCAUGGCCCUUACGAGUAGGGCUACACACGUGCUACAAUGGCGCAUACAGAGGGCGGCCAACUUGCGAAAGUGAGCGAAUCCCAAAAAGUGCGUCGUAGUCCGGAUUGGAGUCUGCAACUCGACUCCAUGAAGUCGGAAUCGCUAGUAAUCGUGGAUCAGAAUGCCACGGUGAAUACGUUCCCGGGCCU
Molecule: ribosomal RNA, 1374 nt
Filed under: uncultured bacterium
Lineage: Bacteria
Description: bacterial SSU rRNA
Rfam family: Bacterial small subunit ribosomal RNA
Source: RNAcentral